GCGGUGUUGUGGGCCCUGAUGAGGAUGGCUACUGACGUCCUGCCUGCGCAUUGUUGUUAGGUGAAGUGGUGUGGAAACGCCUGCCGUAGAAGGUGAUAGUCCUGUAGCUGAAGAUGAUGGUGUGUGGGUUGUUGGGUUGCCCGAGUAGCAGCGGGCUCGUGGAAUCUGCUGUGAAUCUGCCGGGACCACCCGGUAAGCCUAAAUACUCAGUGUGACCGAUAGUGGAUAGUACCGUGAGGGAAUGGUGAAAAGUACCCCGGGAGGGGAGUGAAAUAGUUCCUGAAACCAUGUGCUUACAAUCCGUCAGAGCACUUUUUGUGUGUGAUGGCGUGCCUUUUGAAGAAUGAGCCUGCGAGUCAGCGGCAUGUCGCGAGGUUAACCCGUGUGGGGUAGCCGUAGGGAAACCGAAUCCUAAUGGGGUGUUUAGUGGCAUGUCCUGGACCCGAAGCGGGGUGAUCUACCCAUGGCCAGUGUGAAGCAGCAGUAAGAUGCUGUGGAGGCGCGAACCCACGUAGGUUGAAAACUGCGGGGAUGAGCUGUGGGUAGGGGUGAAAGGCCAAUCAAACUCCGUGAUAGCUGGUUCUCCCCGAAAUGCAUUUAGGUGCAGCGUCGCAUUAGCUUGGUGGAGGUAGAGCUACUGGUUGGUUGAGCGGGACUACAAUCUUAGCAAUGUCAGCCAAACUCCGAAUGCCAUUAAUGUGUUGUGCGGCAGUGAGACUGUGGGGGAUAAGCUUCAUAGUCGAGAGGGAAACAGCCCAGAUCGCCGGUUAAGGCCCCUAAGGGUGUGCUAAGUGGAAAAGGAUGUGGGAUCGCGAAGACAGCCAGGAGGUUGGCUUAGAAGCAGCCAUCCUUGAAAGAGUGCGUAAUAGCUCACUGGUCGAGUGGUUCUGCGCCGACAAUGUAGUGGGGCUCAAGCACACCGCCGAAGCCGCGGCAAUAAUAUUUUGUUAUUGGGUAGGGGAGCGUCGUGCACGUGUUGAAGCGUUACCGUGAGGAGGCGUGGAGUGUGUGCGAGUGAGAAUGCAGGCAUGAGUAACGAAUUGGAAGGUGAGAAUCCUUCCCGCCGGAUGACUAAGGGUUCCUGGGUCAAGUUCGUCUUCCCAGGGUGAGUCGGGACCUAAGGCGAGG
Molecule: ribosomal RNA, 1128 nt
Filed under: Corynebacterium striatum
Lineage: Bacteria; Bacillati; Actinomycetota; Actinomycetes; Mycobacteriales; Corynebacteriaceae
Description: partial 23S ribosomal RNA
Rfam family: Bacterial large subunit ribosomal RNA
Source: RNAcentral